This 483-nucleotide ribosomal RNA is filed under the name uncultured bacterium. Its description in RNAcentral is "partial 16S ribosomal RNA". It matches the Rfam family "Bacterial small subunit ribosomal RNA", at positions 28 to 523 of the family's 1533-position model. The record is from RNAcentral.
GACGAACGCUGGCGGCGUGCUUAACACAUGCAAGUCGAACGAUGAUGCCCAGCUUGCUGGGUGGAUUAGUGGCGAACGGGUGAGUAACACGUGAGUAACCUGCCCCUGACUCUGGGAUAAGCGUUGGAAAUGACGUCUAAUACUGGAUAUGACUACCGGCCGCAUGGUCUGGUGGUGGAAAGAUUUUUUGGUUGGGGAUGGACUCGCGGCCUAUCAGCUUGUUGGUGAGGUAAUGGCUCACCAAGGCGACGACGGGUAGCCGGCCUGAGAGGGUGACCGGCCACACUGGGACUGAGACACGGCCCAGACUCCUACGGGAGGCAGCAGUGGGGAAUAUCGCACAAUGGGCGAAAGCCUGAUGCAGCAACGCCGCGUGAGGGAUGACGGCCUUCGGGUUGUAAACCUCUUUUAGUAGGGAAGAAGCGAAAGUGACGGUACCUGCAGAAAAAGCACCGGCUAACUACGUGCCAGCCGCCGCGGUAA